GGUGACUGCCGGUGACAAACCGGAGGAAGGUGGGGAUGACGUCAAAUCAUCAUGCCCCUUAUGACCUGGGCUACACACGUGCUACAAUGGACGGUACAAAGAGCUGCAAGACCGCGAGGUGGAGCUAAUCUCAUAAAACCGUUCUCAGUUCGGAUUGUAGGCUGCAACUCGCCUACAUGAAGCUGGCAUCGCUAGUAAUCGCGGAUCAGCAUGCCGCGGUGAAUACGUUCCCGGGCCUUGUACACACCGCCCGUCACACCACGAGAGUUUGUAACACCCGAAGUCGGUCGAUGGGUAACCUUUUUGGAGCCAGCCGCCUAAGGUGGGUAC
Molecule: ribosomal RNA, 330 nt
Filed under: Bacillus cereus
Lineage: Bacteria; Bacillati; Bacillota; Bacilli; Caryophanales; Bacillaceae
Description: bacterial SSU rRNA
Rfam family: Bacterial small subunit ribosomal RNA
Source: RNAcentral